RNAcentral lists this ribosomal RNA (594 nucleotides) under Cuscuta corymbosa var. grandiflora. RNAcentral describes it as "eukaryotic LSU rRNA". The stretch from base 212 to 366 matches the Rfam family "5.8S ribosomal RNA". The record is from RNAcentral. Lineage: Eukaryota; Viridiplantae; Streptophyta; Magnoliopsida; Solanales; Convolvulaceae.
CGUGCGGAAGGAUCAUUGUCGAAACCUCCAGUAGAAUGACUUGUGAACUUGUACUAAUACAAAACUCUAGUGUUGGGGCCAUCUUUUGGGUUUGACCUCGACGAACAAAAACACCGGCGCAGCAGCGCCAAGGAAUUUCACAAUGAGAAUGCUACCUUGCAUUGGUCGUUUCUAGUGCUUGUGUGGGUGGCUCUUCUUUUUAAUAGAAAAUGACUCUCGGCAAUGGAUAUCUCGGCUCUUGCAUCGAUGAAGAACGUAGCGAAAUGCGAUACUUGGUGUGAAUUGCAGAAUCCCGUGAACCAUCGAUUCUUUGAACGCAAGUUGCGCCUAAAGCCUUAGGUUGAGGGCACGUUUGCUUGGGUGUCAUGCACUAUGUCUUCCCUCUCAUGUUUUGGAGUGGGAGUGGAUCAUGGCCUCCUGGGCCCAUCCUCGGGUGUGGUUGGCUGAAAAUCUUGUUCUUGAUGCUGCUAGGUGUCUUGGCGUGCGGUGGAUGUACUAAGUGGGCAUAAUGGCGCGCUUUGCACGGCUUUAUCUUGGCGAUUAGACCCUAUGAAGUCGAUGAAGUUGGCUCUUUGAUUGCGACCCCAAGUCAGG